GUUUCAGAGAUAGAGAUGGCAGAAGAUUCAUUUCAGAGAGAGAUUGGAUUUAAGUGAGAAUGAGAUGGAUUUCCCUAAUAGUCUGGCAAUAUGCUCGUUUCUGUCUCUGCCUUUACUGCCUUCUGACUGCCUCUGAAGCAUCUCAGAUGGUCAAAGACCAGCCUUACAGAAUGUGAAAGGACCAGCUUCUGUGAAAUCCGCAAGAGCAGACAUCAUGAUAAAGUCACCAUCUGCCAUUCUAUCUGUUCCAGAGUUACCUCAGAAGACUUUUCUUCAUCAUCAAUUCAACAGGGUAACAAGCAAUCCUUAGAUAUCUGUGUUGAUGACUAAGAGAGCUUACAUCAUGAGGGAUGAUUCAGUCUGAAAGUUAUAAACAGAUGCAGAAACCACAGAACAUAUACACCAAAUUGUAUCAGAAAGGGAAAAAGAAGAAUGAGGAGAGCUAAAGGUCUAUAAGAAUUGCAGAACUUCUUCUUAAUCACUCACAAGAGGAAUUUCCAUGAAACUGGACAAAAUGCAUACUGAUUAAAACUGUCU
Ochotona princeps (American pika) is the source of this 537-nucleotide long non-coding RNA. RefSeq lists it as uncharacterized. NCBI's taxonomy places the organism in Eukaryota, Metazoa, Chordata, Mammalia, Lagomorpha, Ochotonidae. The record is from RefSeq and is a predicted model, not a curated record. The transcript is spliced from 5 exons.